RNAcentral lists this ribosomal RNA (422 nucleotides) under uncultured bacterium. RNAcentral describes it as "partial 16S ribosomal RNA". It matches the Rfam family "Bacterial small subunit ribosomal RNA", at positions 355 to 774 of the family's 1533-position model. The record is from RNAcentral.
UGAGGAAUAUUGGACAAUGGGUGAGAGCCUGAUCCAGCCAUCCCGCGUGAAGGAUGACGGUCCUAUGGAUUGUAAACUUCUUUUGUACAGGGAUAAACCUACUCUCGUGAGGGUAGCUGAAGGUACUGUACGAAUAAGCACCGGCUAACUCCGUGCCAGCAGCCGCGGUAAUACGGAGGGUGCAAGCGUUAUCCGGAUUUAUUGGGUUUAAAGGGUCCGUAAGCGGACUUGUAAGUCAGUGGUGAAAUCUCAUAGCUUAACUAUGAAACUGCCAUUGAUACUGCAGGUCUUGAGUAAAUUUGAAGUGGCUGGAAUAAGUAGUGUAGCGGUGAAAUGCAUAGAUAUUACUUAGAACACCAAUUGCGAAGGCAGGUCACUAAGAUUUAACUGACGCUGAUGGACGAAAGCGUGGGGAGCGAACA